UCUAGCAGCUCUGACGUUGCAGUGACCGAGGCUGGAGGCUACUGAGCAUCGGGGGAAGGGGUGAGGGAGGAUGCGGGGCGCGUGCGUGAGGGGCUUACUGAUGAAAGCUAGGAGAGUGGAGGCUCCACGCUGCCGGGACACCUGCCCCGCGCCCUCCUGGGGACCGGCAGCGUGCUCCAAACUCGGGUGCGGUAGUGGUUGGAGAAUGGGAACCUUUGGGGUUGGAGGUGGAAUGGCCAACUGGGCAUCCGCGGAGGAAAGGAAAGCUGGGCGCUUGGGGCGGAGGGCCACAUUUUGGGGUACGCCAGAACCAACCAGGGCCUAAUAAACGAGAGGAGUUGCAUUGUGGGAAGAAUGCAGCCUGAGGAUGGCCGCAGGAGUGACUGGCGGGAAUGCAGCCCAGAAAGCUGCUGGCAGCGCCUGGAGCUACCGGCAGGGAUGGAGCCGUGUGUCGGCUCCUUGGGUGGCCGGUAGACGGCCCGGGUUGGCGGGAAGGGGACCGGAGUGGUUGGGGGAGCUGGGAGCGCAGAGCCUUUGGAAAUCCUUUGUCCCUAGCCCGCCCCAAGAAGUUCCUUCCCUCUUCCGGAUCCUACACCCGCAGACCUCGCCAGCCCUCCCUGAUAUCUGCGCUGUGCAGCUGUUUUGGGGACUGGGUGUGAAGCGCACCAGAAGAUACGAAGGGCUGGGAGCGCGCACCUGCCUAGGCGCGAAGAGACCAGAGUGGAGUAUGGAGGAGCCCGAGGACCUCAUGCGAUUCCGCCUACCCGCCCGGCGCCUCCCAGCGCCCAAAUCGGGGAUGGGUUGGGGACAGAGGGAGGCAGGCAGGGGCGACCGAGAUCGUUCCCCCUUUUUUUUCCUGCUUUUUCUUUGUUUCAAGCACAGCCCCUUUUAACUGGCUGGGCACUUCUUGCAGAGGGAUGUGUCUCCUUAAAAUGGCGACAGGAAAUCCCACCUGCGCGUCAGCCAAUUAGACUGUCGUUCAAGCGCGAAUUUGCAGGGAGGAAAUUUGAGCUUUUUAUUGACAGAGAUGGUUUAGUCUUCGUGUUCCAUCAAAACAGGAAAGGGAAGGUGAAUCAUAAUUCAGAAAUUAAUCUACCUGGAGUCGUUCAUGGGGGCAGACUGAGUAGUCACUGUGUGGUAGGGGCUGUAGCUUUUUAAUCCCCGGUGGAAAAGUGAGAUGACACCCAGAUUUUAAGUUUCUCAUUAUUGAUUAAAAUUCUCAUUCUCUUCGAUGGCAGGCGUUGU
RNAcentral lists this long non-coding RNA (1245 nucleotides) under Marmota monax (woodchuck). Lineage: Eukaryota; Metazoa; Chordata; Mammalia; Rodentia; Sciuridae. The record is from RNAcentral.